Anas platyrhynchos (mallard) is the source of this 1448-nucleotide long non-coding RNA. RefSeq lists it as uncharacterized. The record is from RefSeq and is a predicted model, not a curated record. Lineage: Eukaryota; Metazoa; Chordata; Aves; Anseriformes; Anatidae.
AGGAAAAGAGUAAGAAAAAAAUUCUAAACAUAGAUGAAGUUGCCUGAAGGAUGAUCUUAUUGGAGAUCUGUAAGAAGAAAUCAGGCAGGCACCUGUAAGUAACAAGAUAGGUGUGAUUAAUUGGACACUGGGGGGCUGAGGACCCUUCCAGCUCAAUUCAUUGGCUCUGUGAUGUAGAGCUUUCUCCUUGCCAUGAGAUCAUUAGGGAGAUGGGGCCAAGUGAAGGAAACCUAUUGAUAGGAGUCACCUUUGUGCUAUAGUGGUCUUUUUGGGAACAGACAAUAUAAAUGAGAAUGAAGAAAAUAUGUUAGACAGCCUGUUGGUGAUGGAGGACUUUGCUGAGUGUGUUCUCCCAGGCUGCAGCUGAUCUCAGUCCCUACAGCACCUUCUCAGCCCAGUGUCCAAGUGCUGGAGGAUGAGGAAUUACUUGUUACUGUGCAGGUGCAGCCUGUGGGCCUGAUUCUGCCUUCCAGGAAAUGAUGGGAAGUCACUGAGAUAACCCAUGCCAACAAAGGCCACAAGACUGUGUCAAGUGAACUCCCAUGUUGAAGAACAAAGGUUUGUUCUUAAGGUUGUGGUUUGCAGCUGAAGCCACCACCAACCGAGGACCAGCUGGCCUAUUCACCUAGAAAUGAGGAAAGGAACAAUUUUGAAUAUGGUGUUGCAUCUUGCAGAAUUUCCUUGCUGAAGCAGAAGGAGAGAUGAAGUACUACGGUAUUGCAAGCAGGGGUCCAACACUCACUUUCUCUUUAGUGGCCUGACCAUGAUCCCUCCAUCCAGUGGAAGAAGAAAGCAAAACAGCGUCACCAGAGCUCAGCAAUCUAGUCUCACCCCUGAAAAUCCUGGGACUGAGAGAUCCUGAAGUGUUUUCUGAAGUAUGUUGGUGUUUACCAACCUUGGACUUCAACAAGAGAAGCAGCAAUGGGGACUCUGGUGUGCAUGUACAUCUGAGUAUGUACAUGAACUCCCAUUAGAAGGGAGGGGGGAGAGAGAGAGAAAAAAACAAACAUGUGCCAGCAACAUUGCUUACAUCUCCUUUACCUGUUAAUGCCCCUGAAUAAUUACAGUGUUUAAAUAUUAGCCAUUCCUUCGGAUUUUUUUUUUUCUCUUUCAAAAUUAAUAUAUUUUUUUCAAGCUAAUUUGGGCCAGAAGGUUGCUCUUAUUUUGGAGCUGUGCCCCUCUGAAGCAACCAGGGUGUGUAUUUCUGCUGGCUGGGGCGGCAGUAGCCCCUUCCACCCCAUUUACCUUGGUGCAUACUGGCUUCAAGUGUUGUCUCACAGUGGGGACAAAGGACCUGUGCCAAUCAGUUUGGAAAGAUAAUUGACUUCGGACUGGUGACUGGUACUGUGGUGAUUCUGUUUGGUGAGCAAAAUAUUGACUUUCCCUGGUAGGAAAUGAAUAUUGUAGAAAUGACUUAAGUGUCUUUUUUUCCUUAUUCCUUUCUUUCU